UGGGGUGUAGCUCAGUGGGAGAGCACUUGCCUAGCACAGGAGGCACUGGGUUUGAUCCUCAGCAUUACAU
RNAcentral lists this transfer RNA (70 nucleotides) under Marmota monax (woodchuck). It matches the Rfam family "tRNA". Rfam says of the family: Transfer RNA (tRNA) molecules are approximately 80 nucleotides in length. Their secondary structure includes four short double-helical elements and three loops (D, anti-codon, and T loops). Lineage: Eukaryota; Metazoa; Chordata; Mammalia; Rodentia; Sciuridae. The record is from Rfam by way of RNAcentral.